This 468-nucleotide ribosomal RNA is filed under the name uncultured bacterium. RNAcentral describes it as "partial 16S ribosomal RNA". It matches the Rfam family "Bacterial small subunit ribosomal RNA", at positions 28 to 507 of the family's 1533-position model. The record is from RNAcentral.
GAUGAACGCUGGCGGCGUGCUUAACACAUGCAAGUCGAACGGAAAGGCCAGUGCUUGCUCUGGUACUCGAGUGGCGAACGGGUGAGUAACACGUGGGUGAUCUGCCCUGUACUUCGGGAUAAGCUUGGGAAACUGGGUCUAAUACCGGAUAGGACAACUUUUUGGAUAUUGUUGUGGGAAGCUUUUGCGGUAUGGGAUGAGCUCGCGGCCUAUCAGCUUGUUGGUGGGGUAAUGGCCUACCAAGGCGUCGACGGGUAGCCGGCCUGAGAGGGUGUACGGCCACAUUGGGACGGAGAUACGGCCCAGACUCCUACGGGAGGCAGCAGUGGGGAAUAUUGCACAAUGGGCGCAAGCCUGAUGCAGCGACGCCGCGUGGGGGAUGAAGGCCUUCGGGUUGUAAACUCCUUUCGCUAGGGACGAAGCUUUUUUGUGACGGUACCUGGAGAAGAAGCACCGGCUAACUACGUG